This 69-nucleotide transfer RNA is filed under the name uncultured Roseivirga sp. It matches the Rfam family "tRNA". Rfam says of the family: Transfer RNA (tRNA) molecules are approximately 80 nucleotides in length. Their secondary structure includes four short double-helical elements and three loops (D, anti-codon, and T loops). Further hydrogen bonds mediate the characteristic L-shaped molecular structure. tRNAs have two regions of fundamental functional importance: the anti-codon, which is responsible for specific mRNA codon recognition, and the 3' end, to which the tRNAs corresponding amino acid is attached (by aminoacyl-tRNA synthetases). tRNAs cope with the degeneracy of the genetic code in two manners: having more than one tRNA (with a specific anti-codon) for a particular amino acid; and 'wobble' base-pairing, i.e. permitting non-standard base-pairing at the 3rd anti-codon position. Lineage: Bacteria; Pseudomonadati; Bacteroidota; Cytophagia; Cytophagales; Roseivirgaceae. RNAcentral also lists the same sequence under 1 other name. The record is from RNAcentral.
CCCAUAGCUCAGUUGGUUAGAGCAUCUGACUCAUAAUCAGAGGGUCACAGGUUCGAGCCCUGUUGGGCC